UUGCAGGGACGAUCCUUCAGAGAUAAACAUCUCAGACGAAAUGCCUAAGACGACUGUAUGGAAAGCUCUCAGCAUGAAUACAGAAAAUCUCUAAAUCCCAGGAGAGGAGUUUUUCCAUUUAGGGCCCUUGACUUUGGCGGCGGGGGAGGAGACCGUGAAGAUGACUCAGGGAUGAGCCAAGAUGUACAGACACGGGGAGAAAAUACUCUUAAAAACGGAGAAAGGGGGGGAAAAAACCCACCGCUCUCCUCUGGUACUUUUUUCAUUCAAGUAACUGGAUUCACAUUAAAGCCAUUCAGACAUUUUCAAUGAUCUUUGGUGUGCUUCGGUGGGCGUUUAUUCUCUUCAGACCAGCAAGCUGAGGUGGCCAAUGCAAUUGAUGACAAUUCAGUGUUAUUAAGCCUCUCUCUGUGUGUGCGUGCGUGUGUUCUGUUCUCUUCGUGGUAGAGAGAUUGCUACCGCACAGCCAUUGAGCGGGAUAGAUUUUUCCAUCUGAUUUUCUUUUAAAAAUAUAAACUCUGAAUGUA
Chrysemys picta bellii (western painted turtle) is the source of this 527-nucleotide non-coding RNA. NCBI's taxonomy places the organism in Eukaryota, Metazoa, Chordata, Testudines, Emydidae. The record is from RefSeq and is a predicted model, not a curated record.